Molecule: transfer RNA, 60 nt
Filed under: uncultured Isochrysis
Lineage: Eukaryota; Haptophyta; Isochrysidales
Rfam family: tRNA
About the family: Transfer RNA (tRNA) molecules are approximately 80 nucleotides in length. Their secondary structure includes four short double-helical elements and three loops (D, anti-codon, and T loops).
Source: RNAcentral
ACGUAGUCUAGUGGUAUGAUGGCCGCCUGCCACGCGGCCGGCCGGAGUUCGAUUCUCCGC